This 73-nucleotide transfer RNA is filed under the name Trueperella sp. RNAcentral's name for it is "tRNA-Ala". It matches the Rfam family "tRNA". Rfam says of the family: Transfer RNA (tRNA) molecules are approximately 80 nucleotides in length. Their secondary structure includes four short double-helical elements and three loops (D, anti-codon, and T loops). The record is from RNAcentral. Lineage: Bacteria; Bacillati; Actinomycetota; Actinomycetes; Actinomycetales; Actinomycetaceae.
GGGGCCUUGGCGCAAUUGGUAGCGCACUUGCUUUGCAAGCAAGGGGUUACGGGUUCGAGUCCCGUAGGCUCCA